RNAcentral lists this ribosomal RNA (305 nucleotides) under uncultured bacterium. Its description in RNAcentral is "bacterial SSU rRNA". It matches the Rfam family "Bacterial small subunit ribosomal RNA", at positions 334 to 653 of the family's 1533-position model. The record is from RNAcentral.
AAGCCCUACGGGGGGCAGCAGUGGGGAAUAUUGGACAAUGGGGGGAACCCUGAUCCAGCGACGCCGCGUGAGUGAAGAAGUAUUUCGGUAUGUAAAGCUCUAUCAGCAGGGAAGAAAGAAAUGACGGUACCUGACCAAGAGGCCCCGGCUAAAUACGUGCCAGCAGCCGCGGUAAUACGUAUGGGGCAAGCGUUAUCCGGAUUUACUGGGUGUAAAGGGAGCGUAGGCGGCAGGGCAAGCCUGAUGUGAAAGCCCGGGGCUCAACCCCGGGACUGCAUUGGGAACUGCCCCGCUCGAGUGCCGGG